This 45-nucleotide non-coding RNA is filed under the name Echinostoma caproni. Lineage: Eukaryota; Metazoa; Platyhelminthes; Trematoda; Plagiorchiida; Echinostomatidae. The record is from RNAcentral.
GCAUUGCUGACGAGUCCCAAAUAGGACGAAACAGCUGUCCAAUGC